This is a non-coding RNA of Araneus ventricosus, 91 nucleotides long. The record is from the annotation of a GenBank genome assembly. NCBI's taxonomy places the organism in Eukaryota, Metazoa, Arthropoda, Arachnida, Araneae, Araneidae.
GGUGGUCACCCUCCCGAGUACUGACCGUCCCCGAUGCUGAUUAACUGCGGUAAUCAGAUGAGAACUGGUGCUUUCAGCAUGGUAUGGCCGU